GGGAAGGUGGCUCAGUGGCAGAGCGCUUGCCUUGCAUGCAUGAGGCCCUGGGUUCAAUCCCUCAGCACCCCA
Dipodomys ordii (Ord's kangaroo rat) is the source of this 72-nucleotide non-coding RNA. The record is from Rfam. Lineage: Eukaryota; Metazoa; Chordata; Mammalia; Rodentia; Heteromyidae.